Long non-coding RNA from Lactuca sativa (garden lettuce), 1349 nucleotides. RefSeq lists it as uncharacterized. Lineage: Eukaryota; Viridiplantae; Streptophyta; Magnoliopsida; Asterales; Asteraceae. The record is from RefSeq and is a predicted model, not a curated record.
CUAAUCGUUCUAAUCGGUGGCUUUUUUUAUUUAAUUUCUCUGUUUUUAUGCAUAAGUUUAUUCCACCACCACCAAGCUCCUAAGACUAUCAGGAUACGUGGCUUCUUCCCUUUGUUUCUUCAACAUCUCCUUGCUUACUCACCCUUGAUCAUACCGACCAGAUCCUUCCACCUUUUAUGGCCACCGCCUUAUCUCCAUCCUCUUUCUUUUUCCUGUUGACAAGGCUCCAUAAAUCCCAAUUUCCUUUCUAUUUCUCUCAACAUCAGACUCCUUGUGACACCUGAAAUCGAUUUCUUCAUGCCUCAAAUUGAUUUCAUUAGGAGGGCGGUAUGCUUGAAGUGGCGAUCUAGGUUUUAGGGUUUUUCCACUUGCUCCACUACCGUCUCCAUCUUCCUUUGCUGCCGGAAAAAAAAAUAACAACAUCAAGAAGGACCGGAAGGAGAACAUGAGGAAGAACAACCCAAGUAAUUUUCUUCUAAUUCGUCGUGUCUCCGCCCACCUAUUAAAAUCCCAUUUCCUACAGUUGAUUGGUGUUUUUUUCAGGAAAUGAUCAAUUAUGAGCUCUACAUAUCAACACCAUGGGUUUGAAUCACCACGAAUAUUUUUCAUAUGAAAAAACACUCUUUUGCAGAAAUUGGAGGAAAAUGAAAAAAGUUGUUGCAAAAAUACGUAUUUACCCCUAAUUUCUGAUAUAAUUUUGUUGUUGCCAACAAAAAUAAGGAUGAAAUUUUAUAAAGCUAACCUAUAAUGUUUGCAACCUUGCAACCAGACAUUAAAGUCAUGCUUUGUGAUCCUUAUGAACCUGAACCAUAAAAGAAAAUAAUAAAGUCACUUUACAGAAGAAUCAUGUAGAAUUUUAUUUAUUUAUUUAUUUAUUUAUUUAUUGUUUUGAAACUUAUUACUUUACUCUCUCCAGUCAUGCUUGAUUCAUCAAUGGAUAGAGAGUCACCAGAUACUAAAACUCCAUCAACAGGAACCUGUUUUUAUAACUGAUUCUUAACAUGGUGAAGAAAUAAAGAAAUUUUAGAAAGAUUAUAAAUUUCUGACCUGAUCAUUGAUUUUUAGAGGGAUUAUAUCACCCACAACAAUAUAAAAUAUUGAAAUCUCAACCCUUCUCCCACCUCUAACCACCUCCAAGUGUAUGUUUUGUUUUUCCUCAUUUACAUUUUGAAAUUGAAGUGAUUGUUUAUAAUCACUUAUGGAUACAAGAUUUUUUUGUUAAAAAAAAAAAGUAACAGACAAAAAAACAACAAUAAGAUGACACUGAUGUCACUUACAAGUUCUUCAAGUGUAAUAUUGGAAUUUGUGGUUCAUUUAUGUGGAUAUUGAAGCUCCUGAUGUUGCUUUUA